RNAcentral lists this transfer RNA (75 nucleotides) under Radula marginata. Its description in RNAcentral is "partial tRNA-Phe". The stretch from base 1 to 67 matches the Rfam family "tRNA". Rfam says of the family: Transfer RNA (tRNA) molecules are approximately 80 nucleotides in length. Their secondary structure includes four short double-helical elements and three loops (D, anti-codon, and T loops). Further hydrogen bonds mediate the characteristic L-shaped molecular structure. tRNAs have two regions of fundamental functional importance: the anti-codon, which is responsible for specific mRNA codon recognition, and the 3' end, to which the tRNAs corresponding amino acid is attached (by aminoacyl-tRNA synthetases). tRNAs cope with the degeneracy of the genetic code in two manners: having more than one tRNA (with a specific anti-codon) for a particular amino acid; and 'wobble' base-pairing, i.e. permitting non-standard base-pairing at the 3rd anti-codon position. Lineage: Eukaryota; Viridiplantae; Streptophyta; Jungermanniopsida; Radulales; Radulaceae. The record is from RNAcentral.
GCCGGAAUAGCUCAGUUGGUAGAGCAGGGGACUGAAAAUCCUCGUGUCACCAGUUCAAAUACUGGCCGUCGUUUU